This 468-nucleotide ribosomal RNA is filed under the name uncultured bacterium. Its description in RNAcentral is "partial 16S ribosomal RNA". It matches the Rfam family "Bacterial small subunit ribosomal RNA", at positions 28 to 507 of the family's 1533-position model. The record is from RNAcentral.
GACGAACGCUGGCGGCGUGCUUAACACAUGCAAGUCGAACGGAAAGGCCCUGCUUUUGUGGGGUUCUCGAGUGGCGAACGGGUGAGUAACACGUGAGUAACCUGCCCUUGACUUUGGGAUAACUUCAGGAAACUGGGGCUAAUACCGGAUAGGAGCUCCUGCUGCAUGGUGGGGGUUGGAAAGUUUCGGCGGUUGGGGAUGGACUCGCGGCUUAUCGGCUUGUUGGUGGGGUAGUGGCUUACCAAGGCUUUGACGGGUAGCCGGCCUGAGAGGGUGACCGGCCACAUUGGGACUGAGAGACGGCCCAGACUCCAACGGGAGGCAGCAGGGGGGAAUAUUGCACAAUGGGCGGAAGCCUGAUGCAGCAACGCCGCGUGCGGGAUGACGGCCUUCGGGUUGUAAACCGCUUUCGCCUGUGACGAAGCGUGAGUGACGGUAAUGGGUAAAGAAGCACCGGCUAACUACGUG